UGGGAGAAUGAUACACAAAUUGGGCAGAAGUACUGCUCUGAUUGUCACUAGACCUCCCUANAAUAAAAAUUGCCUUUCGAUGACCAGGACGAAUUGAGUGAAAUCGUCAUGGACAGAUACGGGGCAGACAAUU
RNAcentral lists this small nucleolar RNA (133 nucleotides) under Neotoma lepida (desert woodrat). Its description in RNAcentral is "Small Cajal body specific RNA 8". It matches the Rfam family "Small Cajal body specific RNA 8". Rfam says of the family: scaRNAs are a specific class of small nuclear RNAs which localise to the Cajal bodies and guide the modification of RNA polymerase II transcribed spliceosomal RNAs U1, U2, U4, U5 and U12. Lineage: Eukaryota; Metazoa; Chordata; Mammalia; Rodentia; Cricetidae. The record is from Rfam by way of RNAcentral.